UGGAUCCAUCCCUGCCAAUGGUC
Molecule: non-coding RNA, 23 nt
Filed under: Arabidopsis thaliana (thale cress)
Lineage: Eukaryota; Viridiplantae; Streptophyta; Magnoliopsida; Brassicales; Brassicaceae
Source: RNAcentral